Non-coding RNA from Pelobates cultripes (western spadefoot toad), 221 nucleotides. NCBI's taxonomy places the organism in Eukaryota, Metazoa, Chordata, Amphibia, Anura, Pelobatidae. The record is from the annotation of a GenBank genome assembly.
UUGGAAACAGAGGGUGAAUAAGAAAACUGAUUACAAAUGAAGCGUGUCAGCGAUUGCAGGCAAAUGAGAAUCCGUCCCCCUGGUGACUCCAUGCGAGUUUAUAACGACGCCAGACGCCUCAAUUUUCUAUUACUUGCCUGUCACUUUACCAAGAUUCCAGACACUCUUUACAGUCAUUGAUCUCUGCUAAAUGGAGAAAGCAUCAUUCUCCCUAUCAUCGC